UUAAGAUGAAAAGAUGGCGUAUGGGUAUUUGAAAUUAAAAAAUAGUAUCAAUCAAGAUUUGUACAGUAAUAAAUACGUGACAGUGCCCAAAAUAUCGUGUAUAAGAUGACCUAUCGUUAGGAUUUAAACUUUAUCAUGAAAGGAAAUAUCCCUAAGGAGGAGAGGAGCAAUAUUUGAAUUUAGACGAAGAAUGGAAGCGAGCAAAGAAGUUGUCUUCAAUAUUAAAAUCAUUUCCAUGGAUUUCCUCACACUGAAAUGGAUUAUAAGCAGUGGCGGCUCGUGGCUUUAGGGACAGGGUCGGCAAGGUUUUUGUCUCCUCAGAUAGGUAUACCAUCUAAUUGAAAGGCUUCAAUCAUCAUAGAAGAUUUUUGAUUUUUGUUUUUUUUGAAGAUAUUCUUCUUUAGCGGCGAAUCGAUUGAGGGUAAAAUUGUACAUUUACCGCGCGCCUGCGCACACUGACAGUAUGUAGUUCAUUGCUAAUCUUUCAAGAUAGUGCCUCGAUGGAGUAGUUAGAAAUGCGUUGGCACUGAGAUUGGAAGGUUGCGGGUUCAAUUCCGAAAGUGGUAGAAACAAAUAUCAUCAACUCUGGAUUAAAUUAAAUAUUUAGAAAAUCUACAAUGUGUCCAUAAUGUGUGGGUCGGCACUGCCGACCCUGACCGGCCGCCACUGAUUAUAAGGAUUUUUUUGUCCAGGACGAUUUCAAGAACCAAUAAAGAAACCAUGUCAGCCUUUUGUCACUCACAAGAUUUGAUGUAAAUAUAGCAAGGAAUUGCCCCUAAGAAUCUCAGGAAUAUUUGAAUAUAGAUGAAGAAUGGAAGCGAGCAAGAGAGUUUUCUUCAAUAUGAGAAUCAUUUCCCCAGAUUUUUUCACAUUGAAAUGAAGUAUAAGGAAUUUUUCUUCAGGAGAAUUUGAGAACAAAUAAAGAAGCGGUCUAUCUUUUGUCACUUAUGAGAUUUAUGUAAAAAUAGCAAGGUUAGAAGAUUUUGCUGUAUUGAAAUUCAUGGAGGACAUUAGCAAGUUUUACGGAACAUCUUCAUCUUCAGAAGCACUCAAUGCUCAACGAAAUGGAUCACCAACAACUUCUAUGGAACAACUAUAUAGUUGAAAAUUGUAAUAUUGUAUCAUAAAAUGUAGUAUGGAAUAAAAUUCCUUUUUGGUGUA
Diabrotica virgifera virgifera (western corn rootworm) is the source of this 1161-nucleotide long non-coding RNA. RefSeq lists it as uncharacterized. Lineage: Eukaryota; Metazoa; Arthropoda; Insecta; Coleoptera; Chrysomelidae. The record is from RefSeq and is a predicted model, not a curated record. The transcript has 6 exons.